UACGUAUGGUGCAAGCGUUAUCCGGAUUUACUGGGUGUAAAGGGAGCGUAGACGGAGUGGCAAGUCUGAUGUGAAAAUCCGGGGCUCAACCCCGGGACUGCAUUGGAAACUGUCAAUCUAGAGUACCGGAGAGGUAAGCGGAAUUCCUAGUGUAGCGGUGAAAUGCGUAGAUAUUAGGAGGAACACCAGUGGCGAAGGCGGCUUACUGGACGGUAACUGACGUUGAGGCUCGAAAGCGUGGGGAGCAAACAGG
Molecule: ribosomal RNA, 253 nt
Filed under: Mediterraneibacter faecis JCM 15917
Lineage: Bacteria; Bacillati; Bacillota; Clostridia; Lachnospirales; Lachnospiraceae
Description: [Ruminococcus] faecis JCM 15917 partial 16S ribosomal RNA
Rfam family: Bacterial small subunit ribosomal RNA
Source: RNAcentral